GUCAGGACUCUCUUCAGGUUUUCCUUCUGCAAAUUGUUGAGUACGAAAACCUUAUUUGCGGAUAUGGAGAAACUGCACGGAGAACCCUAUGAUUCUAAUCAUCUCCAGCAAGAAGAAAUGCUUUUGAAGAGACUUCCUGAAGAACCAUGAUCCUGGCAGUUGAGUCCUCAUAUGGGGAGGAAAAUCAAUAUAACAUAUAACCAGAAAUACAGUGAUGAACAGAUACAGCAACUCAUAAGUCUUAGGUUUUAUGCAAUUCAAGUACUGAAGGUAAUUUUUAAACAUCUCAGAUACCACCCAAGUGUUCUGCUUAAAGGAUAUCUUUUCUUAUUACAUUUUGCAGAAAGCAAAAUGAGACUACUGGGAAUAGUGUACAAGAAAAGAAUCCUGCCUGAUACAGACUGUCAGAAUGUCUUUACUAACCUUAUACAAGGACAUUGCUUUUUUUAGCAAGAAUAUAUUGCUCCAGAAAUUUCAUAGCUGGAGAAUGUUUGAGGGCAGAUUAUACUAAGUAUAGAAUAAUACUGUCAACAUUAACCUAAAUAGCUCAUUUUAGAACUUGUAAAAUAGUACAGCAUAUGGUGGUGACAUCACAAGACUUCGUCUGUGACAAUACUAUUUGCAGUAAUUAAGGUCACCCUAUUUUUUUCUGUAGUCUUAUAAAUUACCAUAUUAAUCGCUAUGGAGGAAAAAUGCUUUACAUUUGGGGGUAAUGAUGAGUGACAAAUGUGAAAAUGAUUUGACAAAAAGAACUCUCAGGGAUAAAACAAACAAAUGCUGUUACAGUACUGGAAAAUGUUGAUAUUUGAGAAGUAAGCUCUUGCUCAGUGAAAUUUUUUUAUUCUAGAUACUACAUAACUAAUAUCCUGUACCAUGUAGCAUGCUUACCUAUCACUUUAAAAAUAGCACACUCUGAGACCAUUGACCUUAAACUAAUUUUGUAUUGCUUAUUUAAUGAAGUCUCACUAACAUAUAGGAGUACCUUAAAUUUUUAGGCAAAAGUAACCUUUAGAAAGCAAAACAGUUUCUAACUGGCUAGAUGUAAAAAGGAAUUCAAGAGAUUUAUAGGAAAAUGGCUGGACAGAAAGUAGUCAUCUUAUAUCAGUAGUGGUAUAACGUAGUUAUUCAUUCAUUCAUUAAUUUAUUCAAUAAAUAUUUGUUAAACUCUUUACA
This 1173-nucleotide long non-coding RNA is filed under the name Felis catus (domestic cat). Its description in RNAcentral is "lncRNA (ENSFCAG00000049391.1)". The record is from RNAcentral. Lineage: Eukaryota; Metazoa; Chordata; Mammalia; Carnivora; Felidae.